RNAcentral lists this ribosomal RNA (253 nucleotides) under uncultured bacterium. RNAcentral's name for it is "partial 16S ribosomal RNA". It matches the Rfam family "Bacterial small subunit ribosomal RNA", at positions 524 to 776 of the family's 1533-position model. The record is from RNAcentral.
UACGUAGGGCGCAAGCGUUGUCCGGAAUUAUUGGGCGUAAAGAGCUCGUAGGCGGUCUGUCGCGUCUGCCGUGAAAACCCGAGGCUUAACCUCGGGCUGGCGGUGGAUACGGGCAGACUAGAGGUAGGUAGGGGAGAAUGGAAUUCCCGGUGUAGCGGUGAAAUGCGCAGAUAUCGGGAGGAACACCGGUGGCGAAGGCGGUUCUCUGGGCCUGAUCUGACGCUGAGGCGCGAAAGCUAGGGGAGCGAACAGG